Molecule: long non-coding RNA, 792 nt
Organism: Neofelis nebulosa (Clouded leopard)
Lineage: Eukaryota; Metazoa; Chordata; Mammalia; Carnivora; Felidae
Exons: 5
Source: RefSeq, a predicted model, not a curated record
UGUGGUGUUCACAUAGCUUCCGUGUCCCAGUUUGUAGUUCUCUGCUAUUCCUUAAUAAACGCAUUUUUGCUGGUUAAAGAACCGGAAGUUUUAUUUUUAAGGUUAUUAGUCUCCAAGAGAAAGUAUAAAUUUUUAGCGACUGGCAUAGCCUGAGCAGACAACUAGCGAGAACAAACGGCGGCUAGAGCACGGAGUGGGUGUUGAAGCCUCUGUCACCCCCUCCGUAGCACCAGGCACCACCUCAGCUGCUGAUCCAUGGGGAAGUCUUUUCUAGGAUAUUUGGAGGAAGAUACUACAUUUUCUUUUCAAAGACUGAGGAAACGAUAUCCAUGAGGUUCAACAGCUUCUCAAGCUCUCACAGCUGGCUUUGAUGCGCACAUCCCGAAAGGUCUCAGCCUUGAAAAUAAAGUGGAAACAAGAGGCAGAAGCUGUGUGGCGAGCCAGUCAUGGUGGGGAGAUAGGACAGUGCUCAGGCAUGGGUUCCCAGUCUGGUGAAGUCCUGAGGUGCCGUUCAGGAGACAUCUGUGCUGUGAAAGUGAACACUGCUGGGGAGGUCGUUGCAUGAAACAUGGUCACUGUUGCAUCCUUUUGCUCCAGCAGAGUCGAGCCCACCUGUGUCUUCAAUCUUUGCGUUGACAGCUACAUUGUUCCACUCUCCAAAAGACGAAGGACCUCUCAGAUUGUGCUCCUUACCUCAUAAUGAGAAUUAGCAGCAGGCCUGGAUGGAUUCAUAAGCAAUGUGAGCCUGCUCUCCUGCAAAUGUCUUUAAUAAUAGAUGAUGAGAAAGGCAGA